GCCAGUGUGGUGUAGUGGUUUAAGUGCUGGACUAUGACUCUGGAGAUCAGGGUUCAAAUCCCUGCUUGGUG
Non-coding RNA from Phrynosoma platyrhinos (Desert horned lizard), 71 nucleotides. The record is from the annotation of a GenBank genome assembly. Lineage: Eukaryota; Metazoa; Chordata; Lepidosauria; Squamata; Phrynosomatidae.